Molecule: ribosomal RNA, 460 nt
Filed under: uncultured bacterium
Lineage: Bacteria
Description: partial 16S ribosomal RNA
Rfam family: Bacterial small subunit ribosomal RNA
Source: RNAcentral
CCUACGGGUGGCAGCAGUGAGGAAUAUUGGUCAAUGGGCGCGAGCCUGAACCAGCCAAGUAGCGUGAAGGAUGACUGCCCUACGGGUUGUAAACUUCUUUUAUACAGGAAUACAGUGAGGCACGUGUGCCUUUUUGUAUGUACUUUAUGAAUAAGGAUCGGCUAACUCCGUGCCAGCAGCCGCGGUAAUACGGAGGAUGCGAGCGUUAUCCGGAUUUAUUGGGUUUAAAGGGAGCGUAGAUGGGUUGUUAAGUCAGUUGUGAAAGUUUGCGGCUAAACCGUGACAUUGCAAUUGAUACUGGCAGCCUUGAGUACAGUUGAGGUAGGCGGAAUUCGUGGUGUAGCGGGGAAAUGCUUAGAUAUCACGAAGAACUCCGAGUGCGAAGGCAGCUUACUAAACUGCCACUGACAUUGAUGCUCGAAAGUGUGGGUAUCAAACAGGAUUAGAUACCCUAGUAGUC